This is a small nuclear RNA of Suncus etruscus (white-toothed pygmy shrew), 108 nucleotides long. Lineage: Eukaryota; Metazoa; Chordata; Mammalia; Eulipotyphla; Soricidae. The record is from RefSeq and is a predicted model, not a curated record.
GCAUAGAGGAAAACUUAGGCAAAAUAUUCCAUGACAAUGAUACAGAGAAGAUUAACAUGGCCCCUGUACAAGGAUGACAUGCAAAUUUGUGAACUAAAACACUCCAUG